This is a long non-coding RNA of Humulus lupulus (European hop), 1280 nucleotides long. RefSeq lists it as uncharacterized. The record is from RefSeq and is a predicted model, not a curated record. The transcript is spliced from 6 exons. Lineage: Eukaryota; Viridiplantae; Streptophyta; Magnoliopsida; Rosales; Cannabaceae.
ACAUUAAAAAAUAACACUUAUUUAAAAGUGCUAUUAAUAAGCAAUUAAAAAAACACACGACCGAAUAUGUGAAAUUUCAUUUGGCGCCAUAUGAAAUAUAUAACUAGGCGCCAAAUGAAAAUAAGAGACACGGAAGCACACAGUAAACUAGUCUCAGCCUCCGAACCCCUAAGCCUCCAUUGAAUCCCUAAUUUCUGGUUUCGUUUCUUUGCCUCUCUUUCUUUCUUUCUUUCGUCUCUUUGCUUCUCUUUCUUUCUGGUUUCCUAGUCUCUUUCUUUGCUUCUCAGCUUCUCUUUCAUGCUUCUCAGCUUCUCUUUCUUUCUCUUUUUUUUUUCGUCUACACAACCAAGCAGAGCAUCGCUCAACAACCCUUUUAUUCAAACUUCACUAUUUAUUCUUCUAUGUCGUCUAAAAUUAUGAAAAACCCGAAGAACCAUUCUUUCAGGAUCUGGGUUUUCACUUCCUCGCCUUUUUUCUUCAUGGAAAGCUGAUGGCACAACCGAAGUAUUGAUGAAGAAAAAAACUUAGAGGUGAAUUGGUUGAACUCUAAGGAAUAGUUUGAAUGAUCAAGUUGAAAAUGGCUACAAAUAUGACGACUGAUCAAGGUCCUGAUAGAAAUGGUACUGUGUGGACUAUAGAUCAGAAGCUUGAUCAACCCAUGGACGAAGAGGCUAGAAAGCUUAAAAACAUGUACACAGAAAAGAAGCUUUCAGCAGUAAUGCUUCUGCAACUUGCAUUCCAGAGCCUUGGAGUGGUAUAUGGAGAUUUAGGCACAUCUCCGUUGUAUGUUUUCUACAACACUUUCCCUGAUGGAAUUAAAGACCCAGAAGAUUUGAUUGGAGCUUUAUCUUUGAUAAUAUACUCGCUUACUCUUAUUCCGCUUCUCAAGUAGGUGCUAAUUGUUUGUAGAGCAAAUGAUAAUGGUCAAGGCGGAACUUUUGCUAUCUAUUCAUUACUCUGCCGACAUGCAAAAUUGAGAACUAUUCCUAAUCAAGACCGAAGUGAUUUGGAACUUACAACAUAUAGUCGUUCUACAUUUAGUGAACACUCAUUUGCCGCAAGAACCAAGAGGUGGUUGGAGGGAUAUGCAUUUAUGAAGAACACAAUGCUUAUUCUUGUCCUUAUUGGCUCUUGUAUGGUAAUUGGGGAUGGAAUUUUGACUCCAGCCAUUUCAGUGUUGUCAGCUAUUGGUGGGAUUAAUGUUGGCCACCCCAUGAUAAGUAAUGACAUAGUUGUACUUGUUGCUGUUAUUGUCCUAGCCAUUUUGUUUAGCAUUCAAC